This 272-nucleotide ribosomal RNA is filed under the name uncultured bacterium. RNAcentral's name for it is "partial 16S ribosomal RNA". It matches the Rfam family "Bacterial small subunit ribosomal RNA", at positions 524 to 796 of the family's 1533-position model. The record is from RNAcentral.
UACGGAGGGUGCAAGCGUUAAUCGGAAUUACUGGGCGUAAAGCGCGCGUAGGUGGUUUGAUAAGCGAGAUGUGAAAGCCCCGGGCUUAACCUGGGAACGGCAUUUCGAACUGUCAGGCUAGAGUAUGGUAGAGGAGUGUGGAAUUUCCUGUGUAGCGGUGAAAUGCGUAGAUAUAGGAAGGAACACCAGUGGCGAAGGCGGACACUCGUGCCAAUACUGACACUGAGGUGCGAAAAGCGUGGGGAGCAAACAGGAUUAGAUACCCGUAGUCC